Molecule: non-coding RNA, 1607 nt
Organism: Elaeis guineensis (African oil palm)
Lineage: Eukaryota; Viridiplantae; Streptophyta; Magnoliopsida; Arecales; Arecaceae
Source: RefSeq, a predicted model, not a curated record
CCUCCCCAACCCCCCUCCCCUCCCUUCCUCCCCCCCGACUCCGGCGCCACUAACCCCACUCGCAUCCCCUCCCCGGCCCCGGACGCCUCCCGCAUCCCGCGCGACCGCCCCCUGCACCCUCCGCGGCCCCGCCCGAUAAGUGUCGGCUAUUCACGGAGGACAGACGGCGUCUUGGCGUUGCCUUUUUUUUUUCCUUCGUUCCCUUCGCGAGCCAUCUGGAAACUUCCCGAGCCCUCCCGAACUCUCGCAAACGCCCACCUCUUUCUCCGCUCUUCUCGCCGCCACAUCCCGCCGGUCACCGUCGUCGCCUUCCUCUCCAUCGUCACCAACAUCGGCGUUCCCCCUCCAGUCUCCCUCACGACGCCGAUUUCUUCCCCGCUCUGAUCGCUGCCACCUCCCGCCACUCUCCGCCGUCGCUUUCCUCCCGAUCCUCAUCGGCUUUGGGUUCCCCCACCCAAUGUGCUUUAGAUCUCCAUUUUUUUCUUUUUUUGCUUCGAACCCUUCCAGAGUCCUCUUGAAUCUUUCCGAGCUCUCGCGGACGCUUGCCUCCUCCCCGCUCUCCUCGCCGCCACCUGCCGCCGGUCUCCGCCGUCGCCUUCCUCCCCAUUGUCACCAGCGUCGGGCCUCACAGAUCUCCGAAAAAGAAGCCACCGAUCUCAUCUCUACUCUCCUCAGUGCCACCUUCCGCCGGUCUCCACCGUCGCCUUCCUCCCCAUCAUGACUGACAUCGGCCUUCCUCUCUGACCUCCAUCAGGUGCUUUCCUUCCCAUAGAUUUCUGAAAAAGAAAAAGAAAUGAAAAAGAAAAAAAAAAAGGGGAAAAAAAGAAAUGAAGCACAUUCCCGAAGAAGCAUCGGUGAUUAUUUUGGCUUCUAGGAUGAAAUUAUCGAGAGAAUCGAAUGCAGGAUUGCCGCUUGGACCUUCCUUCCAGAAGUACCAUCCAGAUGCGUGCAAAGGAAGCAAUUGUGGCAUUCAGUUUCAUCGGAUUAACGAAGCCUAUGAUGCAAGCAUUCUCCCCUCUUCCCCCUUUUCUCCCCCAAAAUCCCUUGAGAAAAUUUUUAAAUUUUUCAUAUUGGUAUUUUUUUAAGAAAAAAUAGCUACUACAGAAACAUUUCGUCCAGAUUGAAUGCUCCAUUUUUUUUCUUUGGGUUGAUUUAGACUCAUCAAUUUUAAACUUUGAGUCAUAGUAGAACAAAAAGAAAGUACUGCUUUGAAUGGGCGCCAAUGUUUCGUUUUGGUUAUGGAAAGUCAGUUAUUGUGAAAGAGUCUUCCAUGAGGAGGGCAACAACUGUUCAUGAAGGAGUGGAUAUGAAGAAAGGGUUUUCCAAUGUUUCAUACUGGAUCCGGAAAGUCAGUUAUAGUGAUGCAGUCUUCAAUCAGAAAGGUAGUCGCAAUUCCUGAAGAAGAAAAUCUUAAGAAAGGAUGAAAUUAUCGAGAGAAUAGAAUGUAGGAUUGCUGCUUGGACCUUCCUUCCAGAAGUACCAUCCAAAGGUGUGCAAAGAAAGUAAUUACGGCGUUCAGUUUCAUCGGAUCAACGAAGCUUAUGACGUAAGCAUUCUCCACUCCUUUUUUGCUCCAAAAUCCCUCGAGAAAAUUUUUAAAUAUUUCA